UUUUUUGUAAUAUAAUUAUUAUCUUUACCUUCCAAGUAGAUUAUCUCGCAAGAGCUUAAAAA
RNAcentral lists this transfer RNA (62 nucleotides) under Biomphalaria glabrata. Its description in RNAcentral is "tRNA-Gly". The record is from RNAcentral. Lineage: Eukaryota; Metazoa; Mollusca; Gastropoda; Planorbidae.